GGGGGGGGGUUAUUAACUUUAUGGAAAACAAUAUUCACACAAACAACACCGUUUAGAGCACCUUGGAGAUUAUUAGCCAUGUAAACGGGGAGCAAAAGAGCGGAUUUAACCAACUCUGUACAAACCGGAGCUCCAGGGACAAGACUGCCCGGAGACAGACCCAGCAGAAUCUGGAACGCUAGAGGGAAAAAGUCACACACCCCCGGUUUCGGCGAUUCGUCACAACAAGCGCCAAAAAAGCAGAGACUCCGCACCGGCGAAAAACGGCACAGACGACCACAUAAAUCUAGAGCUGGGGGAUUCCGGCGCCCCGAGCAUUCCGAAUGAAACACCCAAGAGACCUGUUUUUAAGGACAUGUCAGAUGUUGAUGACCAGCUAUUCUGUGAUGCGGCCAACUUUAUAG
This is a long non-coding RNA of Oncorhynchus nerka (sockeye salmon), 404 nucleotides long. RefSeq lists it as uncharacterized. The transcript is spliced from 3 exons. The record is from RefSeq and is a predicted model, not a curated record. Lineage: Eukaryota; Metazoa; Chordata; Actinopteri; Salmoniformes; Salmonidae.